RNAcentral lists this long non-coding RNA (404 nucleotides) under Homo sapiens (human). RNAcentral describes it as "HSALNT0072209". The record is from RNAcentral. Lineage: Eukaryota; Metazoa; Chordata; Mammalia; Primates; Hominidae.
ACUUUCAAAUUGGUUUACAAUAUGCUGUAGAAGUACAUGAAGGAUCAUUGAAUUAUUUCCACAGGGCUGGAGGCGGGUCAAGGAAGAGUGAUAUUAUGGAAGACCUAGUGGAGCCAUGCUUAUUUUUUCAUUUAUGCAAUAAAUGAAAAAGAAGAGUGAAACAAGUAAAGCAAUGAUGAAAGGAUAUUCAGGUGUUAUGAAGGGUUGGACCAGGGAGUGCCCAGAGACCAUGUCUAAGUCUAAUAGUCCAUACUAACAAAAAUCUAUAUUUCACUUUUUAUUCAGAGCAGAAGACAAAUAAGAUCAUAUUUGUUAGGCAUUCUGUAAAAAUUGCCAUUAGCCUAAUCAUGUGGCCUAGUAGCUAGAAUACCCUUGGAAGAUACAGGUGCAGCCACCUCAAGGAA